GCGGCGCGUGUCGCUGUUUCCGGUGUGUUGGCCUCUGGCUUUGUUUUGUUUUGUUUUAGGUUAGAGAUCAGCGAGAUAAAAGAUGGACCCUAAAAGAUGAAGCAAAGAUCAGAAGUGGGCAAGAAACUGUUGCUGGCCAGUACUCACACAUCUAGAUCGUGUACAUCAUUCAGCUCUGCUCCCAUGAAUAUGAUUGACUUAGAGAAGAUUGAAAUUUUGUCCUUCUGUGUAGGCCUGGCUGUUUUCACUUCAUACAAGUUUCUUGUAUGCUGUUGCAAAUGGAAGAGUUUUCUUCCUUUGGUGUGUGGCAGGCUACCUUAUCUUCACCUAUUCAGAGGAGUUUGAUGGAGUCCCAUAGAUUGGUGUAUGCACUUAUUCCUUUUGGGGUAGAUACCCAGUGGUGUCAACAUGUAGUUUCCACAAUGUGUAAGGUUUUCGAGAUUGACCAAGGGAUGAAUAUAUUGGACUAAGGAAUGAACACUUCCAUUCCUGCCCAAGGCUUAAGUGGGAGCCAUGUGCCGCUGUACCUGCUGUGGAAGCCAUGUACCGUUGUACCUGCUGUGGAAGCCAUGUGCCGCUGUACCUGCUGUGGAAGCCAUGUGCCGCUGUACCUGCUGUGGAAGCCAUGUGCUGCUGUACCUGCUGUGUCAUUACCAGAAGAAGCAAGUGGGAGUGACCCAUGAAGACUUGUUCCAAGGCUACAGAAAGCCCAUGAAUCCAGGUACUGGGUAUAAUUGUUGGAUUCCCUCGAAGAAGACCCAGAGAAGCCAUUGCAUGGAGCUGGAAAGAUGAAGCCCAAGUUACAGUAGAGGGACCAGGAUAUUGGAGAUUCUAGAAUUGUACUUAAACACUGAGGAAAGCUGCAAGAACACGGUGGAACAUGCCCAAGACAGAAGUCACAUGUUCUGGAGGUGGCAGAAGUGGAGUGCUGACACUACCCAAAUCUGGACCUUAGGUGAUCCCAUCAUGAGUACUCCAUGCUAGCCAUGGAGCUAUAGGAUUAGGUGUUAGUAUUUUUGUUUCUGCUUUAAUCCCUCCUUUCUUUGCGGUUCUCUCAUUAUUUCCCAUUUAGGGUGGGGAUGCUUCUUCUUUGUUUUGUAUAUUAGAAGUGUUCAACUUGUAUCUUGAUUUCAUAGGUGCUCAAAAUUAAGAGAUGGUCUGAAGUCUCAGAGGAGACUUUAAUUUUUUGAGCAGGGCUGUAACUGUUAAAGACUAUGAGGGCUUUUAGAGAGAGAGACCAAAUGCAUUCUGAGAUGAACAUGAAACUGGGAACCAGGGUAGAGUACUAAGGUGAUAGUUUGGUGUUGGGUUGGCAGGAAGUGGAAUUAUAAUGAUUAAUAUUUGUUGCCAUUUUAACAGGAUUUCGAAUCACCUAGGAGACAGCUCUGUGCUUGUUAUGUAAGUACAGAGCUAGACAGAUUUAUCUUAGAAGGGAAAUCUUCCCUUAAAUAAAUGUUGUGACAUCCAUGAACUGGGAUCCCAGACAGAACAUAAAGGGGAACUGAGAGGAGUGCCAGUGUUCAUCUUCAUCUCAUUCCUCCUGCUGUUCCCCGAGUAUCACGUGCGUGUAUUUCUGUUUGUCUGUUUAUGAGUUCUCCGUUCAUUUCUGGUUUGUGUCUUAUGCUACCCCAGUAGCAAAUCUCAAUAGCUUUAGUCUGUAUAAUAAACUUUAAUAUCUGAUAGAGUGAUUACCCCUAUUUUAUUCAUUUAAAGGUGUUUUGGCUAUUCUAAUUACUUUUCCUUAUUUGUUCUAGAAUAAGCUUGGAUACAUCUACGAGAAAUCUUAUCAAGAUUUUGAUAGUAACUAUUAUUACACUACAUAUACAUACAUAAUUAUGCAAAACUCAUUUUGUGAAAAAAUAACACUUUAACUAUGUUACAUGUUCUCUUUUGAGACAUAUUCUAAGAAGUAAGCUGUCUUCUUUUUUUAAUGUUAU
Molecule: long non-coding RNA, 1937 nt
Organism: Mus pahari (shrew mouse)
Lineage: Eukaryota; Metazoa; Chordata; Mammalia; Rodentia; Muridae
Exons: 6
Source: RefSeq, a predicted model, not a curated record